This 614-nucleotide ribosomal RNA is filed under the name uncultured Corynebacterium sp. MT30Y. RNAcentral's name for it is "bacterial SSU rRNA". It matches the Rfam family "Bacterial small subunit ribosomal RNA", at positions 28 to 654 of the family's 1533-position model. Lineage: Bacteria; Bacillati; Actinomycetota; Actinomycetes; Mycobacteriales; Corynebacteriaceae. The record is from RNAcentral.
GAUGAACGCUGGCGGCGUGCUUAACACAUGCAAGUCGAACGGAAAGGCCCCAGCUUGCUGGGGUGCUCGAGUGGCGAACGGGUGAGUAACACGUAAGUGAUCUGCCCUGCACUGGGGGAUAAGCUUGGGAAACUGGGUCUAAUACCCUAUAGGACCGCAUCGUGGUUGGUGUGGUGGAAAGGUUUUUCUGGUGUGGGAUGAGCUUGCGGCCUAUCAGCUUGUUGGUGGGGUAAUGGCCUACCAAGGCGGCGACGGGUAGCCGGCCUGAGAGGGUGUGCGGCCACAUUGGGACUGAGAUACGGCCCAAACUCCUACGGGAGGCAGCAGUGGGGAAUUUUGCACAAUGGGCGGAAGCCUGAUGCAGCGACGCCGUGUGGGGGAUGAAGGCCUUCGGGUUGUAAACUCCUUUCGUCAGGGACGAAGUUUUUUUGACGGUACCUGGAUAAGAAGCACCGGCUAACUACGUGCCAGCAGCCGCGGUAAUACGUAGGGUGCGAGCGUUGUCCGGAUUUACUGGGCGUAAAGGGCUCGUAGGUGGUGUGUCGCGUCGUCUGUGUAAUCCAGGGCUUAACUUUUGGUUGGCAGGCGAUACGGGCAUUGCUUGAGUGCUGUAG